GACGAACGCUGGCGGCGUGCCUAAUACAUGCAAGUCGAACGAGAGCGACCGGUGCUUGCACUGGUCAAUCUAGUGGCGAACGGGUGAGUAACACGUGGGUAACCUGCCCAUCAGAGGGGGAUAACAUUCGGAAACGGAUGCUAAAACCGCAUAGGUCUUCGAACCGCAUGGUUUGAAGAGGAAAAGAGGCGCAAGCUUCUGCUGAUGGAUAGACCCGCGGUGCAUUAGCUAGUUGGUGAGGUAACGGCUCACCAAGGCCGUGAUGCAUAGCCGACCUGAGAGGGUGAUCGGCCACAUUGGGACUGAGACACGGCCCAAACUCCUACGGGAGGCAGCAGUAGGGAAUCUUCCGCAAUGGACGCAAGUCUGACGGAGCAACGCCGCGUGAGUGAAGAAGGUUUUCGGAUCGUAAAACUCUGUUGUUAGAGAAGAAUAAGUGCUAGAGUAACUGUUAGCGCCUUGACGGUAUCUAACCAGAAAGCCACGGCUAACUACGUG
This 498-nucleotide ribosomal RNA is filed under the name uncultured bacterium. RNAcentral describes it as "partial 16S ribosomal RNA". It matches the Rfam family "Bacterial small subunit ribosomal RNA", at positions 28 to 507 of the family's 1533-position model. The record is from RNAcentral.